Molecule: unclassified non-coding RNA, 466 nt
Filed under: Hevea brasiliensis (rubber tree)
Lineage: Eukaryota; Viridiplantae; Streptophyta; Magnoliopsida; Malpighiales; Euphorbiaceae
Source: RNAcentral
GAGACAACACCCAAUCUGGUGAGCUACCGACCCAAAGCCCUAUACCGGUAUUCUUGUGCUUAAAAUCAGGUGCUUUCUGAUUCAACUUACUAACUCUGUUGUCCCACCAUUUAUCAGGAUUCUCCAGCAAAUCUUUCCAGCAAUCAACGUCCUUCCCAAUGCCUUUAGGUUUAGGAGCAUAAGCAUCGAAUUCAAGUCCUUCAAGUCCCUCAAGAACCCACCUUGGAGCGUUCUCAAUCCACAGAGAAGUACUACUAUCCUUUUUCUUGAAAUCAGGGUGCCUUGCUUUCACAAUUCCAUCUAACUUCGCCUUUCGACAAUCCCACCAUUGUUUCGAAUUCUUAAUAAGGUCCCUCCAAUCAUCACCUCCCGUAACACCUUCCUCCGACUUGCUCCCACCCAAAUUAACAGAAUCGUCAUAUUCUAAACCAGACAACCUAUCUUUCUGUUUGACCAAAUAAUCAGA